This 253-nucleotide ribosomal RNA is filed under the name uncultured bacterium. RNAcentral's name for it is "partial 16S ribosomal RNA". It matches the Rfam family "Bacterial small subunit ribosomal RNA", at positions 524 to 776 of the family's 1533-position model. The record is from RNAcentral.
UACGUAGGGGGCAAGCGUUGUCCGGAAUCAUUGGGCGUAAAGAGCGUGUAGGCGGCUCGGUAAGUCCGCUCUGAAAGCCCGGGGCUCAACCCCGGGAGGCGGGCGGAUACUGUCGGGCUAGAGUCCGGAAGAGGCGAGUGGAAUUCCUGGUGUAGCGGUGAAAUGCGCAGAUAUCAGGAGGAACACCAAUGGCGAAGGCAGCUCACUGGGACGGUACUGACGCUGAGACGCGAAAGCAUGGGGAGCGAACAGG